Molecule: long non-coding RNA, 2380 nt
Filed under: Macaca mulatta (Rhesus monkey)
Lineage: Eukaryota; Metazoa; Chordata; Mammalia; Primates; Cercopithecidae
Description: lncRNA (ENSMMUG00000064365.1)
Source: RNAcentral
AUGAACCCCCAAAAUUACAUGCAAAGCUUUGAGGGGUAUGCGCAUUUUUCUGAUAUAAAUCUCUUUUACCAGAUUCUGUUCAGGAACCAUGACACAAAAGAUGAAAAACUACUGAGAUGCAGACAUUCAAGCAAAGGUCACAUUCCUGAUCACAGACAAACGGAGAGGGGGAGAGGGCUACUGUGUAUCAUCUCAAUAGAGAUGAGCAAGCUUUCUUAUAACCAGAAGUGGAAAAUGGAAAGAAAGAAGAAAACUUGGAGGAAGGCAAAGGGUGAAUAUUGAAUCAAUUGAAUGGAUUCAAUUCAAGGGGGAAUCAAUUUUGUAAAACGAAUUUUAUCUUAGUGACACUUUAGAGAACACUGUUACUAUAGAGAACAACUCAGUUUCUACAAGCCAAAAGAUCAUAACAAAGCAUUAGAAUGGACUUUAUUCAGGUUAUUUAAGGCAAGUUAGUUUGCUUUUAUUCAAAGGCUGCUGAAAUACUUACCAAGCAAGCAGACAAAGUGUGACAGCUAGAAUAAGGAGAAGAUUACUGUGAGUUCCUUUGCAUGAAGCUAUUUGGUGUUUCAGAAGAAAUUACAUUAAAGAAAGCAUCUGAUCAAACAUAUAAUUCUGUCAGUACAACAGAAGGAAUCUAAAAAAUAAUUUUAGUUCUUCUUAAACAGCCAGUUUUCAUGAUUUCAUAACCUUUGUCACACAGUCAGAAACUAACUUUAUUAGAAUAUAUUUAAGUUGUCAAACAUUUGCUGAAUACCUAUUAUUAGCAAGGUGCUGUACUAAGCUUUGCAGGGGAUACAACUAUGAAUAAGUAGUCCUUUCUUUAGAGAAGUCACAGAAUGCUGAGACUGACUCAUAUUUAUAAACAACUGUAAGUCAAAACAGAAACUAUUAAAUACUAUAAUAGUAAAAAAAAAAAUCCAGAAUGCUAUGGAAAUAGGAAUGAAGGCACCAUGUGGACUUGUAAAGCCUGAGAAAGGUCUCAUGAAGGAGGCAGAAUCUGAGCUGGGUUGCAAAGAAGGUGUAGAUGUUACCAGGUACAGAGACAGGGCAAGGUCAUUAGAGACCCAGCAUAUGGCAAGAGGGUGAGAGAAGGAAAUUAUAAAAUAUGUCCUGGGAACAGCAGGGACCAGUUUGGUUAGAACAAAUAUCUUGAGAUGGAGUAGAAGGCAGUACAUCCAGAAAAUUUUAUUAGUGUAAGAAUCUCAUGAGUUUGCAAUAGACAGUAAAAAAAUUAGACUAUUCCAUAGGCAUAGUCUAUGGGAGAAGGGAUUCUAUUAUUAAAAGUAAUAGCACAAAAGGAUAGAAAUUGGAGGCACAGAGGCCACUUAUGAGGUUACUACAAUAGUCCAAGUAGGUAGAAAUCUGGCACUGGGUGAAGAUAAAUGAGACUGAGCUAGCAAGAAUAUGUAUAAAGCCAGGUAUCAGCAUUAUUGGCAAGGUAAUGGUCUCCAAAGAAAGCUAGUUAGCAUCAUCCUCAAAGAUCUUCUUGGCACAAAUCCCAAUAUACAAAGUAGAAAAAAAAUACAAGAUAGAUGAUCCUCUAGAUGAAGAGCUUAGCAAUAUAGACUCCAAACCAGAGCAACCCAGUAGUGUUGCAUUUAAUCAUGGGGGUCAGUUGGAUGUACAGAGUGUUACACAAAAGUUUAUCUGAAACUGGAAAGGGUAAGAUUAAUCAGGUAGAUUAUCCACUGAUUAUAUUUGAUUAGUUUAUCCUUCAUGGAGAAUAAUUGUUUUAUCAAAAAAGUUAUUUAAUUGAAGAGCAUUUAAAGUAAUACCAAUUGCAAUUUGAAACUUUCUUGAACAAUUACUUGUGAAUUCAAGAAAUUGCUAUAAUGAAGGUUGAUAUAGUUUGGAUAUUUGCCCUUGCUCCAAUCUUGUUGAAUUGUAACCCCCAGUGUUGAAGUUGGGGUCUGGUGGGAGGUGUUUGGAUCAUGGGGGCAGACGUCUCAUGGCUUUGGUCUGUCUUCGUGAUACUGUGUUCUUAGGAGAUCUAGUCAUUUAAAAGUGUGUGGCACCUCCCCGUGACCUCUCACUCUCCCUUCACAUUUUGCCAUAAUUGUAAGCUUCCUGAGUCCUCCCUAGAAGUUGAGCAGAUGCCAGUACCAUGCUUUCUGUAAAGCCUGCAGAACUGUGAGCCAAUUAAACCUCUUGUCUUUAUAAAUUACCCAGUCUCUGGUAAUUAUAUCAAUGCGAGAAGAGUCUAACACAAAGGUCAAAAACUCAGGUUCAAAUCUUGCCUUUCAUCAGUUAACAGUGUAACCACGAACAGCUACUUAAACUUGGCAAUUGUUACUUUUCUGAUCUGGAAAACAUUGAUAAUAAUACCUAACUCAUUUGGUCAUUAGGAGGAUAGAGGAGACAAUGUAUAUAGAAACACCUG